AUUGAACGCUGGCGGCAGGCCUAACACAUGCAAGUCGAACGGUAACAGGAAGCAGCUUGCUGCUUCGCUGACGAGUGGCGGACGGGUGAGUAAUGUCUGGGAAACUGCCUGAUGGAGGGGGAUAACUACUGGAAACGGUAGCUAAUACCGCAUAACGUCGCAAGACCAAAGAGGGGGACCUUAGGGCCUCUUGCCAUCGGAUGUGCCCAGAUGGGAUUAGCUAGUAGGUGGGGUAACGGCUCACCUAGGCGACGAUCCCUAGCUGGUCUGAGAGGAUGACCAGCCACACUGGAACUGAGACACGGUCCAGACUCCUACGGGAGGCAGCAGUGGGUAAUAUUGCACAAUGGGCGCAAGCCUGAUGCAGCCAUGCCGCGUGUAUGAAGAAGGCCUUCGGGUUGUAAAGUACUUUCAGCGGGGAGGAAGGGAGUAAAGUUAAUACCUUUGCUCAUUGACGUUACCCGCAGAAGAAGCACCGGCUAACUCCGUG
RNAcentral lists this ribosomal RNA (490 nucleotides) under uncultured bacterium. RNAcentral's name for it is "partial 16S ribosomal RNA". It matches the Rfam family "Bacterial small subunit ribosomal RNA", at positions 30 to 507 of the family's 1533-position model. The record is from RNAcentral.